RNAcentral lists this long non-coding RNA (14275 nucleotides) under Gossypium barbadense (sea-island cotton). RNAcentral's name for it is "long non-coding RNA (GBAR_LNC019520)". Lineage: Eukaryota; Viridiplantae; Streptophyta; Magnoliopsida; Malvales; Malvaceae. The record is from RNAcentral.
GGCACAUUAAAAUCUCUCUUUUUCAUGCUGAAUCAUCACAUCUGUUUGGCAGAAAAAAAUUUCCAAAACGUUCUUUCUUCAAUCCUGUUACCAUUUUCAAUUCUCUUUCUUUUUGAAAUUUUCUUCAAUCCAGGUUUCUUAACCAUUCCUCUUCCAUGGCUUCUUCGUUGUAGAUCGACUCAUCUCUAACCAGGUACCUCUUUUCCCCAUUUGCUAAUGUUUCUUUCGCUAUUUUGUGGGCUUGAAAGUUCUCUGAUUUUUGAAUAAACUGAAAAUCUAUUUCUUGAAAUAGCGAACUAUGACUCUUGAUAUCUUUGAUAACUACUCCAAUGAUCGAUUUAUCCAUCUCUGCCGAUUGACAUUUUUUAAUGACUGUCUUCGAAUCUCCCCUUAUUGUGACUGAUCGGGGGCCCAGUGAAAUACCCAGCUUGAUUGCUUGUAAACAAGCGAAUGCCUCUGCAAGAAAUGGGGAUGAGACAUUGGAAUGAAGGGUUGUUUUUAAGACUCUUUAUCUCUCCCCUCCAGUUUCGUACAAUGACCCCCGACGCUGAUCUGGACCUGUUUGCAUCAAAAGCUGCAUCAAAUUGUAUUGUGUCCUCCAUUUUCUCCUCCAUAUGUCUCUGUAUUCUGGCAGUCUUCAAGGUACGUCUUUCCUUACCCACUCCUUCAAGUUCUGCUAUAUAGCUCUCUACUUUCUGUGUAAGGUCCCUUCCUGAUGUGUUUUUUCUCAUGUACCAUUUGAUUUCGUGAGCUCCAUAUGAUCCAUAGCGCAACAAAACAUCUGACACUGUUCCUUAGUUUCUUUUGCAAAUACCCAUGUAAGCCAUGUUCUGGUAUUUUGAUCUGAAUAUGAUGUAACCCAAUCCAUGUUAAUAUUCUGCCAAACUUCAGUAAUUGUAGGGCAUUGCUGGAAUACAUGGAAGCUGUCCUCUUCCUCGGAGCCACAACGAGGGCAUCUCAUGUUUGUGGUUAUUCGCUUGUAUCGUAGGUUGGCUAGUGUAGGAAUAUAAUUCCAGGAUAUCCGCUAGACAAACAGUAGAGUUUUUGAUGGAAGUUGUAAAUCCCAUAACUUUCUAUAGAAUUCUUUAAAAUCUGUCUAUAAUAAGUUAUUAAAAAUCGAAUCAGCUUCUUGUAAUAGUUUAUAGUCACUCCGUACAGAGAACUCUCCGGUCGGUUCACCUUUCCAAACGCGUAAGUCUUCACUGUUCGUUUCUGCAAGUGGUAUCUCCAAAAAUUUUUGAGCUAUAUCUGAUACUAAUAAUGACCUCUGUUUUCCACUUCUUAUUUGUUUCAUCAAUUAAACCUGAUACUAUUUUUAGUUCCCUAUUUUCAUCUCCGUUCUGCCAUGUACUAGGUUCAAUCCUUGGAAUCCACCGAUUUGUCCAGAAGGAAACAUUGUUUCCUCUCCCAACUCUCCAACUUAGCCCCUGAAGGAGGAGUCUCUUUGUUGCCCAGAUGCUCUUCCAGGUAAGAGAAGGUAAAUUCCCUAACUCUGCACUUAAAAAAUCUGAUUGUGGAUAAUACUUUACUUUAAGGACUCUAGCUAAAAGUGAAUUUGGAUAAUUAAAAAGAUGCCACCCCUGUUUGGCUAAUAACACAAUAUUAAGCUGACUGAGAUUACGAAAACCCAAACCUCCCUUUUCUUUUAAACUGCAAAGAUUAUUCCAAGAGCACCAAUGAAUUCCCCCUUUACCAUGACCCUUUUCCCACCAAAAUUUUGCGAUAAUUGCUUCCAUUUCUUCGCAUAAAGUUUUUGGGAGUAAGAAGCAAGCCAUUGAAUAUGCCGGGAUGGCCUGUAAUACAGCUUUGAUGAAAACUUCUUUCCCGCCCUGCGAUAAAAAUCUAGUGCUGCAGUUGUCAAUACGCUGCCUUAGUCUAUCUUUCAAAGCCUGAAAAUAAGCCUUUUUUUUUAUCCUACCAUGGUCUGUAACACCCCUUACUCGAGACCGUUUCCGGAGUCGAGCUCAAGGAAUUACUUUAUUUAACUUAUUAGUUCGGGGCAUAAAAGUUUGCUUUUAAAAUUUAUCUCACUAUCUAUGAUAAAGCUGUCCACUCGCGCAGCAGUCACUAAAUCAUUUAUAACUCGAGCUACGAAACUCAAAAUUUAAAUCUAUAAAUUUUCCUUGAAACUAGACUCAUAUAUAUUCUUACCAUUAAUUUUUUAGAAUUUUUGGUUUAGCCAAUUAGUGUAGUUUAUUAGUUAAAGUCUCCCCUGUUUCACUACUCGAUUGUCCUAGCCUCUUGCCACUAAAAAUAAGUUUUCUCAUUUUGGGAAUUUCAUAUGGUGUUCUCACUUGUUUCUACAAAAAAUAGACUCAAUAAGGAAUCUAGACAUAAAAAUUACAACUCAUUUUUUACAAUUUUUAGUGAUUUUCUAAACUCUGAACAGGGGACUCCAAAAACGGUUCUGACCCUGUCUCACCAAAAUUCGUAUAUCUCAAAAUAUAAAAUUUCUUUUGCUAAAACGUUAUUUUUUCAUGAAAAUAGACUCAACAAAAUUUCAGUAUAUAUAUCAUACACCCUCUAAUUCAUUUUAUACUAUCCUAAGUGAUUUUUCAAAAUCACGUCAUUGCUACUGUUUGAAAUCUGUUUCUUUGCAAAUUAUUACUCUUUCAUGAUUUUUAUGCAUAAUUUAUCACAUAGACAUGUAUAACAACAAACACCUUCAUACUUAACUAUUUUGACAACAAUUCAUCUUUAGAUAUUUACACAUCAUUAUUUAGCAAAAUCGUAAUACAACAUUCAAAAUAAGUAAGUCCAUAUACAUGCCAUAGUUCAAACAUAGUUCAUCACAAAAUACCGAGUCGUUGUGGUUGAUAGUGUGGAUGAUCUCCGACGUCUUUAGGAUCCUCGACUUUGAUUAAUAAUGCUAUAUAAAAAGAAAAUAAACAAAGUAAGAAUAAUGCUUAGUAAAUUUACAAGUAAAUAAAUAGCAACAUUUAACACAAUUAAUAAUACUCAAGUGACAUAAUCUUUAAUUUCCUCUUUACUUACUUCCUUACUCGUUCUCUUGCUUGUUUACUUAGUUAACUCAUAAUUAUGACUUACUUUUCUCUUGCUGAAACGUUGAUUCUCAAUGGGUAACAUAAUAUACUCUUAGCUCUUAUAACUCACUUGAACUUGCCAUUUAUGUUUUUAACUAAACUUUCAUGAACAUAAGUUAUUUACUAGCCUGUUGAGCCACAUUGGAACAAUAAUGAUACUUGGGUCUCUUUCUGAUAAUAACAUGCCAAAACCAUGUCCCAGAUAUAGUCUUACAUGGGAUGUUUCAUGUGCUACCAAUGCCAUGUCCCAGACAUAGUCUUACAUGGGAUGUUUCAUGUGCUACCAAUGCCAUGUCCCAGACAUGAUCUUACGGGGGACCUCUCAUCUCGGUGCCAACGCAAUGUCCCAGACAUGGUCUUAUAUGGGACAUCUCAUCUCGGUGCCAACGUCAUGUCCCAGACAUGGUCUUACAUGAGACCUCUCAUGAUCUCAAGGAUGCCAAUGCCAUGUCCUAUACAUGGUCUUACAUGGGAUCUCUUUACCCAAAUGUCAUGACAUUUGCAUCCAAUACGUUCCUCAUGUUUCAACGGGGCCUUUUAACACUGAUUCUCUGUCAUCUCAUACUUGAGUUAACAUUAGAUAUUUUCAUGAAAUAAAUACAUAAUUGCUGAAAAAUAACAGUAUUAAUAAUAAUUUUUAAAAUAUUGCAUUAAUUUACCGUAAACUUACCUCGAUACCAAAUAUAGUCAAAUCUACCACUUAGUCUUCAAUCUUAUUCUUUCCUUGAUCUAACCUCAAAUUCUAUUCUUUUUGAUCUAUAAUAGCAAAUUUAACUUAUUUAAUACUUACAUUCAUUAAAACAUCCCUCGACUUCAACUUUGGAAAAAUUACAAUUUUUCCCCUAAACUUUUACAUAAUUACAUUUUUCCCCAAAGCUCAGAAAUUAAACUUCAUCUCUUAUUCUUAUGUUUUACAACAUGCUGAACAUUUUUCUCUUCUAUGACAACAUCAAAUUCUUACUCUAAAAUCUACUUAUGAACAUUAGGUAUUUUACCGAUUAUGGAGUUUUACUCGUUUUCGCUUAAAAUCGACUAGCAAAAGUUGUUUAACAUAAUUUUUAACUUCAUAUUAUAUCUUAAAACAUCAAAAUAAACACUUUUCACCUAUGAGUAUUUUUUCAAAUAUAAACCCUAGGUUAAAUUAUUACUAGAAUAAACUAAAUUAAGCUACCGGGAUCGCAAAAAUGUAAAGAACAUUAAAAACGGGGUUUGGAAUCACUUACUAUGAGCUUGAGAAAGUGUGAAAACCCUAGCUAUGGUGUCCAAAUUUUGGCAGCAAGCUUUUUUGGAGAAGAUGAUAUUUUUGCCAUCUUUUUCCCUUUUUAUUCUUUUUAUUAUUCAAUGACUAAAAUGCCCUUCAUUAAAACUUUAGUUAUUUUUAUCUAUGCAUGUCUAUUUUUUUCCAUGGAAAUUUUAUGGUCUAAUUGCUAUUUAAGGACCUCUUCUUUGAUUAUGCACUUCAAAUAAAUCCUUUAUCAUCUAAAACUCAUAUUUACCCACUUUUGCAGUUAAGUCCAAAUAGGCAAUUUAGGCAUGCAAUCAAUAAAAUUUCUUAUCAAUACUCUAGUACUUAUAUCUAAUUACUAGAUAAAUCAUAAAAAUUAAUAAUAAUUUUAUCUUUAAAUUGGAUUUGUGGUUACGAAACUACUAUUCUGAUAACCUUAAAUUUGGGCCAUUACAUGGUCGGCAAACCUAGAUAACAUUCUGGUUCAUUUGAGCUUCGGAUUCCUAGCAAGUUUACCACCUGACUUCUUUCUUCUGCCAUCGUAUUUUUGCUGGAAAAAUAGUUGAUUUGUCCAUAUUCACACACUGUCCUGAACCUCUUUUAUACUCACUUUUGAUUUCCUUGAUUGUAUUAUCCCCUCUACAUGUUGCCUCCCCAAAAAGAAUGCAAUCAUCUGCAAAUAAUAAAUGUGAUACCUGUGGUCCUCUUCUGCUUACUUUGACACCCUUCAAAAAACCUUCAUUUGUUGCUUUUCUCAUAAGACUGGAAAGGCCUUCCCCACAUAUUAAGAAAAGAAAUGGACUCAAAAGAUCACCUUGUCGAAGUCCCCUCGAUGGACUGAAUGUCACCCCGACAUUUCCAUUUACCACAACCUUGUAAGAAACAAUAGUCAUGCAUUUCAUAAUAGUAUCAAUCCAACUUCGAGCGAAACCCAUUCGACACAUUAUUUCUUUAAUAAAAUUCUAUUCAACUCUAUCAUAAGCUUUACUCAUGUCCAAUUUUACAGCCACAUAGCCCUUUUUCCCCACUCUUUUCUGUUUUAGGGAACGCAAUAUCUCGUAAGCAAGCAAAAUAUUAUCCGAGAUUAAUCUUCCUGGCACAAAGGCACUUUGUGCACUAUCAAUGCAUUUAUCAAUCACUCCUCUAAAUCUGUUCGCUAUAACUUUUGCCAUUAUUUUAUAAAUGACAUUGCAUAAACUAAAAGGCCUAAAAUGUGUCAUAUUAGCCGGGUUAUUAAUUCUUUGAAUGAGCACAAUAUGAGUUGUAUUAAUUGAACUAACCUCCAUAUCUUCAUUCAAGAGUUGUAGACAGAAGGAAACUACAUCAUCUCCAAUAAAAUGCCAAUACUUCUGAUAAAAUAAAGCUGGGAAUCCAUCUUCGCCUGGUGCCUUAGUGGGUGCCAUCUCGAACAAAGCCUCGCGGAUUUCUUCUCAUGUAUAUUGCACAGUCAGCUUUUUAUUUUCCUCUUUAUAGAUACAUCAACCAAUACCCGAGAGUAAAUAGUCGAGAUUCUCUUGAUUCUCUGAAGCAAAUAAAUUCUGGAAGUAGGACCUUGCUAUUUCUUCCAUUUCCUGGGGAUCUCCCGUAUCCCUUCCAUGUGCAUUUUGUAACCUCCUGAUCUUGUUUUUCCUCUGUCUUUGGGUUGUCUGGCUAUGGAAAAAAGCUGUAUUUUUGUCACCUAAUUUUAACCAAGUCAAUCGAGCCCUUUCCUCCUUAUAUCUUUCCUCCUUCUCAAACUCCAUAUUUAGUUGAAUCUUCGUAUCGAUCAUCUCCGCCAUGUUAAUGUCGUCCCUGUCAGCAUUGAGCAGCUCAGAUAGCUUUGUUGUUAAAAAUCUCUUUUCCAUUUUUCUUGUUUCGUAUUUUCCCAGCCCAAUUUUCAAGCCCUUUAUUUAGGAUUUUCAUUUUCUACAAAAAAUUACCUAGUGUCAUCUUCCACAGCUGCUAGCUUAAGCAACAAAUGAGUCCUCCAAAAACCACCAGUUUUCAAUUUUGAAUAUAUUCCCAUUUUGUCGUCUUGUUUCCUUUUUAGUAUCAAUUAAAAUGGGACAAUGAUCAGAAAAAGAAUGAACCAAAUGUUGAGCUUUAACGUCAGAAAAUAAUGAAAUCCAUUCCUUAUUUGCCACCCCCUAUCCAACCGUUAUCGUAUAUUUUUUUGGGAGAUUACCUCUUUCCCAUGUGAACCAUUUGCCCGAAUAACCCACAUCAUUCAAUUGACAAAACUCCAGCGCUUUUCGAAACAUUUCCAUCUGUCUUUCAUCACGGGGCAAGCCUCCCUUCUUCUCAAAACCAUACAUGACUUUAUUGAAAUCUCCACAUACUAACCAUGGUAUAUUAUCUCCAUUAGAGAGAUUUUUGAGAACAGCCCAUGAAUCUUCUUUAUCUUGUGCGUACAGGGUACCAUAGAAACCUGUAAAAAGCCACAUAACCUCCCUCUCAUUGUCAUGGACUAUCGCGUCAAUAUGCCUUUUAGAGAAAUUUUUUAAAGAAAUAUUAACGCCAUUCUUCCAUGCCAAACAUAGCCCUUCUCUAGUUCCCUCUACGUCCACCUCAAUGCCAUUCACAAAACCACAUCUCUGUCAAACUCUUUCCAUCUGUUUUCCGUAAAGUUUAGUCUCCAUAAAGAAGACUAUGUGGGGAUCACAAGUCUUCAGCAAGUGCCGAAGUCUUCUAACUGUCCGUGGACUCCCCAAUCCACGAAAAUUCCGACUUAUUAUUUUCAUAAUGCCCGGUCGGCUUGCCUCUUGGCAGCCGCCGAUGACAAAUGAUUAAGAUCCAUUAAUCUCCUAUUUCUUGCCGGGGAAUUUAACUCCUCAGUCUUUGAUAAGUCGUUACUCUCCCUUCUAGAUCUUUUUUUACCUUCUUCUCCUACUAAGGCUACAUCCUCCAAGUCAUGAUCCAUCGCAUGUUGACCAUGGUCUGUCAGUGAGCUAACCUGCUUUGCAUAAUCAAAUAGUAAGCCACCUUCCAGAUUAAUACUGAGAACUGGUUCAAUAGCCUUCCCAAAACUCUUCCUGUGCUCCAUUUUCUGUGGUCCAUUCAUAAAUCUCAUGUUUGCCUCCUGAAUCCCGUCUGAACUCCCCUCCCCUUCCUCUCGUAGCCAGACAAUAUUCAUAGUCAGAGCUCUUCGGGAUUGUGCUUUUAUUGAUAAAUCCCACCCCAUUUCAGCUAUUUUCACUCCAGUCAUCGUUUUUGCCUUACAAAACGAGUCAUUAUGGCCUAGUUUUCCAUAAUAGAAGCAGAAAAGAGUCAAUCUUUCAUAUUUAAAACAGAUAUAUGAUCGUCUCCCACAGAAUUCGAUCAACUUAGACCCUAACCCUCAUAAAGUUUCUAUUUUCUUUCCAUAAAUUUGACACAUCAUAUUCCAUAAAAUACCCCAAAAAAUUCCCUAGAUUCACUGCUAAAUUUUUAGAAAACAAACCAAUGGGCACUUUAUGUAUCUGAACCCAGAAAGGGGUUAGCACUAAAGGGACCUGCAACGAAUCCUCCCCCCACCACAGUCUAUAAAAUAUCAAUAGAUGAUUAUUGAAGGUCCAUGGGGAGCCUUUCAAAACCCUCUCCAUAUCCAUAGAAUGAAAAAAUUAGAACAAAAACCUUUUUCCCCCCAAAUCCCGAAUGCAAACUCCUCGAACAGGAUGCCAUAGUACUUUUCAUGGCUGGAAAGUGAAUUAUACUCGUUGUAAGAAAACACCCCACUAAUUGAAAAAACUAUUCACUUCUUUCCGUACCUAGAUUUUUUUGAAUUUUAAUAACAUCUUUCUCUUCGUUGAUCGAUAAUUGGGCUAAUUCAUUCUCUAUAAUUUUUAGGGACACAACGCCGUAAGCCAAAAAGAAAGACAGAAGAACAAAAAACCUAAAAUUUUGCCAAAGGCAGUAGACACAAACGUGCUAGGCGUUGCUGAAUUAAAAGAACUUACAUCAACAAGAAUAAUCACAAAUGGAAAUGAGCUUUUCGACAGAAUAUGAAACUAAUUAUUCAAGCUCAAUAAAAAAAUAUGUUUUUGUUCUUUUUUUUCUUUUCGAUUUAUUUUUUUUUUGAGAAAUAAGAAAUAAAAUUCAACAAUUUCAAAAAAAAAUGAAACAUAGUUAGGCAACUAACCAAAUCAAAUCUUGACAAAAAGGGGAGUCAAUAAAAACAACAAUUAAGGUGGUUAAAUGGGUUAAAUCUUAAGUGUCUCUAUAAUGUCAAUAUAUUAAAUCAAUAAUGUGGUCUAGAUAUGUAUAAUAUAAGCAAGUUCUAGAAUAACAAAUGAAGUUGACAUACUUUCAACCAAAAAUAAAAUGAUCACGAAUAAAUAUAUGCUCUAUAGGCUCAAAGGCUCACAAAAAAUUAAGGUUUUGAUGUCAAACUUGCAAUUUCAGAGUUUGAAGAUAAUAAUUCAAUUCAGGAAGGCAACCUAAAAUAUUUAUUUCUUAAAAAAUAACUUAUCAUGCUUGACUGUCUCGUGCCUUAAAGACACACAAAUUAAUCCAAAACAAUAUCAAUAAAAAUUUCAAAUAAAAAAAUUCACUCUAAUGGAUAACCUCCUCAGACUUAAGAUAUACAUUGUCCUUAAUGUGCAAAUAGAUGUAAGCACAGAAUAAGACAAUAUCAAAAGAGAGGGAGAACUGAAACUGCCUUGAAUAUGGAUGAAUUCGCCAUAAUAGUGAAAACUGGAAUCGUAAGCGAGUUUAAAUGAAAUGCAUGUUUCUGAGCAAACUAAUAAGAAAAUGAACAAAAAUAAAUAAGAAGGUAAAGAGAUUACAAACUCGAACAAAAAAACCAUCAAAAUAAUAAAAAUAACAACAUAGUUUAAAAUAGAAAUAAAAUAAAUUAGUAUCACAAAAAAUACAACAAUUAAAAAUAAAAGCACAAUUGAAAAUAAAACAAAUAAAGCAAAUAAAAUGAAAAAAUCAGUGAUCGUCGUCGUGAGAGGCGUCAGGAUCGCGCGGAACAUAAGCAGAAUGAGAGAUAUGGAGGUGUUGGUGAAUCGAUGCAAGGUCGCGUAAAUGUUUGUUGAACAGUGCUAACUGUUACUUGACGUACUCAUAAUGUAACCGCUCGAGGUGAUUUAGCCGAUGUGAAAUAUCGUCGAGUGUGACUGAAUGUGCAGGUGUGGUAGUAGAAGGGCUUGGAGAAGUGGGAAUGGGUCGCAGUGCUGGGGGGAGAUCAUUGUUAAGGUGCUCAUUAUCCUUGUGCUAUUAAGUCGCUCGUAGCAACACAUACUGAUCACCGAAAGGCCCAGACUAACGAGCGAUCAUCCUCAUGUGUUUCAUAAUAUUUAAACCUUGUGGUGUCAUGUCCCCAACCAAAGUAAGAGUACUAAUCUGUUCUCGAGUCUCGAUAAGACUGAAGAGACUAGUCAAGAGUGUGAUAUAUAGACCCAUACAAAGAGGUCCUCUCCGUGACCUCUCACCCUGAUUACAACAACACUGAGCUACGAAGUGGGAUAGAUCAAUCAGAUGUUGUCUGUGCAUGCUCUAUAAGAAAUGUGCAUCUAAAGUGCCCAUGACGCUUGUAACGACCCAUUUUCAGUGGUGUUAGAAAUAGUGAUUUUGGGACCACAAUUCUGACGAGUGAAUUAUUAUUUUAUCAUUUAUUUAAUGUUUAUUGGAUUAUAUUAAUGUCGUAUUAAAAUUUUGUUAAGAAAUUUUGAUGUUUAAAUGGUUAAUUAGGUGAAAAGGACUAAACCGUAAAAAGUGUAAAAGUUGAGAGUUCUAUUAGUUAAAGUGGUCCAAUGACUAUGAAAUCAAAAAACUAAAAGGAUUGAUUGGUAAAUAUACCAUUUAAAGUGUCAAUAGAUGUGCAUGGACAAGGUUUUAAUGAAAUUUUGAUAGUUUUUAAAGGUUAAAAUGACAAUUGAAUAAUUAACUUAAAAACAAAACAAAUUAAAAAUGGUAUCAUCUUCAUCCUUGGCUAUCUCCACCAAAAUUUGAAGAGAAAAACAUGAUUAGGAUAGGGUUGAGAAUUCGAUCAAGUUUCUACUUGUAUGUAAGUGAAUUCAAGCUCCGUUUUUAAUAAUUUUUGUGUUUUUAGUUCAUUUUAGUUUAAUCUAGCUAGCCCGGGGGUUAAUUUGCAAAGCUAUUAAUGGUUGAAAGACUUUUCAUGGAUAUUUUUGAAUAUGUUUUGACGUUUUUUGAUGGAUUAUUUAUCUUUAUUGUAAAAUAAACAUGUUUGUUAAGUGAUUUUUAUUGAAUUUUAGAAAUAUGGAUUAGAUUGUUAAAAGUAUAAAUCCAUGGGUUUUGUUGUGAAAUGUUGGUAAUAAUGGGUUGUUUCAAGGUCUCUUUGAACAUUGGUUAAGUUGGAUUUAGGUUAAAAUGAUUAGAGUUUAAGUUAUGAGCUUGAGGACUAAAUUGUGAAAAGUCAAAGUAUUAGGGUAAAUUUUGUAAUUCUUCAUAAAUAUUAAUUAUGGAUUAAAUUUAAUUCUAGAAGUACUUAAUUGAAUGAAAUUAUUUAUUUAGAUCAAGAUAAACCACAAUCAUACUUAAAUUGAAGAAAAGCUAAAGCUUCGGAUUAGUGUUCGAUUAUACUUUUACGCCCUAGUUAUCGAGGUAAGUUCGUAUGAACUAUGAUCGUUUUAAUGUUAGUUAAAUUGACUAUUUGAUGUGUUGUUUUAAUAUAAAUGAAUCUAUGUAUAAAUGUAUCUAAGUUAUGAUGAUUUGACAGAUAACGAGUCUUGUUUGAACCUUAAGAAUUCUUAGGAUACAAAUGACAUGUCAUUUGGGAUUUCAUGUUUCGGGUGUUGGUUUUGAAUGUCCUAUCGAUGACCGAGGUCCUGUAUUUGUUGCGAGUUUUUCAUAGCUCGUGUGGGCAGCAUCGUGUAGCUAACAUUCUGACCCAUAACUCAUGUGAGCAGACCUAUUUCAUAGCUCGUGUGAGCAUUAAUGUAAAGGAAAUGUUACGGUUAUAUGGAAAGGCACACUACGUGUGAGCAUUCCUGAGUAUCUGAUGUAAUUUUAGAUGGUUCAAUGGGUAAGAAAAGGAAAUGAAAUGGUAAGUAUGCAAAUGGAAUGAAUCAUGAUUUUAUAAUGACAUUGAUGAGUUAAAUGAUGUGUUUAUAUAUGGUAAACUACAUAUCUUAUGGUUGAUUUCAUUUGUAUCAUGAACAAGUAUACUAACUUGUUAGUUUGAUGAUGUUGUAUAGGCUUUUACUAAGCUUAUGGCAUUGGUAAUGAUUUAUGCUUAAUCUAUGAAUUGUAUAAAUGAAAUGGUAAGUUAUGCUAAGUUUUUACGAGCUUACUAAGCACUCGUUGCUUACAUAGUUACUUUCUUUUGUUUUAUAGAUUAUUUAAAGCUCGAUCGGUUGGAAGUUAAUCGAAGACCUAUCACACUAUCCAACAAUCAUUUCAAUAGUUUUUUUUUGUGUGUAUUUUGGCCAAGGUUAAUAAUGACAUGUAUAAGAUCUUUGUAAUGUAAGUUUUGGUAUGUUUAAGCUUUUGCAGUUAUGUUGGUUUGGUGCACUUUGAUAUCUUACCAAGUUAUGUCAUAUUGGUCACUUAAGUGCUUUUAAACAAAGUUCUUUUGGUAUGUUUUGAUGGCUUGAAAAUGGCCAUAUGUGGUAGUUAAUUGAACUAGGUUAUUAUGCUUGGGAAUAUACAAUAUUGACUUGUUUUGGUAAGUGAUGUUUUGAUAUAUUUGUGGUGCCUUUGAGUGGCAUAUUGGUUAGAUGAAUUAGGGUGUUUGAAAAGGCAUGUUUUUGUGUAUUUGAAUGAAGUUUAAAUUCCUUGAAUGUAUGCCCAAAUGGUUUGAAUGGUUAGGUAUGAAUUGGACUUGAAAUGGCUUGAUUUUAGGUUAAAUUUUGGGUUCACAUGGCCUGGGACACGGGCUGUCACAUGGCCGUGUGACACACACAGCCUGGCGACACGGUCGUGUGUCAUUUCAAAUUUUUUAGUGAUUCAAGUCAGUGAGUUACACGGCCUGACACACAGGCGUGUGUGGCAACUCAGAGAGUUAUACGACCAUGUGACCCUUCUCAGUGAGUUACACGGGUGAGGAAACAUGCUAGGACACCGUCGUGUGUCCUUUGUUCGAAUGUGUCACGGCUUGGCCACACGACUGUGUGACCCCCGUUUUCAUAUUUUUGCAUCUUUUUCUUAAAAUUUCUAUUUUGUUUCGAUUCAGUCCUGAAUUGUUUCUAAGCUAUUUUUAGGGCCUCGAAGGCUCGAUUUAGGGAUAAAAUGCAUAUGAAUGAUUGGUUUACAAUAAAUUUAAUUUAUUUUAUAUUAUAGUGUUAAAUGAUUUUCGGUUGAAAGGUAAUGCUCUGUAACCCUAAUCUAGCGACGGAGACGAGUUGGGGUGUUUCAAUGCUUGUACUAUUCUUUCGUCUAGUUAAAGUAUGAACUAGAAUGACAUGAAUAUAUUACAAGGUUGGAGGGAGGCACUUAGCCUUAGACUGGCUCGGGUUGCACGGAAUGACAGCCUCAGAGAUUUCUGACGAACAUAGAAAGAUCGAUUAAUGGAUGUGUUGUGGGACGGAUGAGAGCUCGGUCACUACUAAGAAAUCAUUAGAAUAUAGGCUGAGAGUGACAGCAAAAAUUGCAAUACUAAAGUGUUGAGUGAUACCCUCAAGACAGAAUGAUAUAGCUCGUGGGUCAUCCCCCGAGAAUAAUACAGUCGGUAGGAAGAAUGUGGAGAAAAACUUGAAUGUAAGCUCAACAUAUGUCGACUCCACGAUCGUGAAGAAUCGAUCCCAUGGGGUUGCGAUUAAAAGAGAAUGAAUCGGUGUGAAUAAGUCCACAAUAUGGAAGGCAUCCCAAUCUACACGUCUACCCACGCCCAAUGCUCUAUCCUUAAGAUUCUGGCACUCUCCACAUAGGGUGGAUGGUCGAAGGUGAGGUAUUGGUAACGAGUGGUUGUUAUCGGAGAGGAUGAAGAUGAGGUCCAUGUGGCUUUUCUUUUAUUAGAAUAAGUGGGGACCCCACUUUUUCCUCGUCGGUUUUGCAUUUUGUAUCUGAAAUAAAAUAUAAUAACCAAAUAUCAGAUAACCAAAAAUCAAAACCACAAAAAAUAAAUCUAGCAAAUAGACAAAUCAACAUACGAAAUAAAACAUAUCGGCAAGCGAACUACCUCACGAUAAAAGUCAAAUCACAACGAGUCUAACCGAAAUCUACUUCGAAUACAAAACUUGAGCUAAUACUAAUACUAUUGAGGCAAAAAAAAAUUAAACUAACCAACUAAAACUAAUAAUAAUAGAAUAAUAAAAUAAUAACAAUAAUACUAAUACUAAACAAAAUAAACAUAUUAAUAAUAGUAGGAGUAAUAAUAAUUAAAAUAAUAAGAAAAUAAAUAAAAACAAAAAUAAUAAAAAUUAAAUAAAAUGAAAUGAAAGAAUAGGGUUGAGCCAAACGGUGGUAACAGCAAUGGUUGGUGGCGAUGGUGAAUGGAGGCGCGGUGGUAGAAGCGAGUGAGGACGUGGGAGAGGGCUGAUGGUGGUAAUGCACAGGUGAAGAGGGUUAGAACAGAGGGAAAAAAACCAGACGGUAGAGGAAAUGGCAUGAUUGACGGUGGGGGAAGGAAAUGGAAAAAGAGAAGCGCGGGAAGGAAAGGAAACGACAUGAUCGACGGUAGAGGACGUGUGUCUAGCCAAUGUGGAAUGGCCCAGCUUGUGUGGCUCUGAAAGAUUCCUCCGAUUUUUUGAUUUUCGCUCCUUUUGCUUCCAAAUGCUCUCCUAAGUAUAAAAACAUGAAUAUAUAGGAUUAGGGGCAUAAAAUUCACCAUUUUAAAUCGAAUAAUGAUCCAAAACUGCAUUAAGAAUAAGGCUAAAACAUGUUACUUUUGGCAUUUAUCAAUAGGAAAUGGGUUGGUUUGAAAAUAAAUGGAUUGCUUGUCGUAGAAUAUUAUUCUCGGCAUAACUCAAAAUAUAAAAUUUUAAAAAUUAUAUUUAAUACAAUAAAACAUUUAUUAUAUUUAUGGUAGUAUUUUUUAAUGUGGUAUGAAACUCUUAGUUGAUGAAACGUGUUUAGUGGUAGAUUGAAUAGCCUAUUAGAUCAUUAAUUCUGAAGCCAUUAAUCAUAUUUGUGUUUAUUGCAG